Molecule: long non-coding RNA, 1253 nt
Filed under: Homo sapiens (human)
Lineage: Eukaryota; Metazoa; Chordata; Mammalia; Primates; Hominidae
Description: HAND2 antisense RNA 1
Source: RNAcentral
CCUCAGCCCCACCGCCUGCCGCCCCCUGGUACUGACCAGCUCCUUCUUCCUCUUCUCCUCUUUCACGUCGGUCUUCUUGAUCUCUGCCUUGAAGGCCUCCGCCUCGCCAUUCUGGUCGUCCUUGGCCAGCAGGUCCAUGAGAGACAAGAUCUCUCUCCAUUGCCAACACUGGUCUCAAACUCCUGGCCUCAAGCAAUCAUCCAACCUCAGCCUUCUGAGUACCGGGAUUACAAGUGCGAGCCACUGUGCCCAGCUCCUGUUUCUACUUUCUUAAGGAAUCCAAGAAAACAAAUGUUAAAAUUUGCGGAAUAAGAGGAAAUGGUGUUAUAGACCAACGGAACAGAAUGUGGAACUCAUAAAUAAGUCCACACACCUACAACGAUCUGAUCUUCGACAAACCUGACAAAAACAAGCAAUAAGGAAAGGAUUCCCUAUUCAAUAAAUGGUGCUGGGAGAACUGGCUAGCCAUAUGCAGAAGAUUGAAACUGGACCCCUUCCUUAUGCCACAUACAAAAAUUAACUUAUGGUGGACUAAUGACUUAAAUGUAAAACCAAAAUCUAUAAAAACUUUGUAAGUAAGGGGUGGAGGAAGCAAGCUAGAAGGACGUUCUAUAAUCUCUUACUGCAUGCAGACAUAAAGCUUACCUUAUGAUUGGGUUCAGAUGGCAAAGGAGGGAUUACUAGAAUGAUGAAUUUUAGAAGCCCCACAGCUGGUUUACAAAAGCACCUACCUGCCAAAUCAUAUAGACCAUUUUAGGACAUGUCAAGUAGUUUAGCUUUUAUUCUGAAUGCUAUUGAAAGCCACUGAUUUUAAGCAGCAAAAGGCAAGCCAGGAUUUUAGAGAGAAAUGUCUGAUGAUAGUAAUGCAGAGUGAAAUGGAGGGGGAUGAAAUUGGAGGCAGGAAGCCAUUGCAGAAGUUAAGGUGGGAGAGGAUGACUUCUUGGCUUUAGACAUGGAAAAGAAGUGAGGGGUGGGCACGAUAACAAGUCAAAGAUGACAUCUGAAGUUCUUGUUGAGGAACUAGUUGGAAGUACCAUUUGAUGUCAUUUUGCAAAUGGGAAUAUAGAAGGAAAUGGUAUUAGUUUUUAAAAAUUGUCUUGAAAAAUUAUACAAGCUCAUUAUAAAAAUUAGAUCAAUACAGUAAGGUCAUAAAUGAAAGUUAAAUAUUAUCUCAAAUCUCAGAACUAAGAAAUAUUCCUUGUUAAUUUCUGGUACACUUAAUACCAGACAUGUUUCUAUGAAAAAAUAUACAC